UUUCUUCUUCUUCUUCUGCU
Molecule: small RNA, 20 nt
Filed under: Arabidopsis thaliana (thale cress)
Lineage: Eukaryota; Viridiplantae; Streptophyta; Magnoliopsida; Brassicales; Brassicaceae
Description: ATSL232210
Source: RNAcentral